Molecule: ribosomal RNA, 139 nt
Filed under: Klebsiella michiganensis
Lineage: Bacteria; Pseudomonadati; Pseudomonadota; Gammaproteobacteria; Enterobacterales; Enterobacteriaceae
Description: partial 23S ribosomal RNA
Rfam family: Bacterial large subunit ribosomal RNA
Source: RNAcentral
GGGUUGUGAGGUUAAGCGACUAAGCGUACACGGUGGAUGCCCUGGCAGUCAGAGGCGAUGAAGGACGUGCUAAUCUGCGAAAAGCGUCGGUAAGGUGAUAUGAACCGUUAUAGCCGGCGAUGUCCGAAUGGGGAAACCC